CUCUAUGGCAUAUGGAAGUGCUGGGGCCAGGGACAGAAUCCCAGCCAGAGCUCUGACCUACAUCACAGCUGCAGCAGCUCCAGAACCUUCACCUGUUGUGCCAGGCCGGGAUCAAACAGGUGACAAGCUGGGUCCUUAACUCCCUGCGCCACAGCAGGAGCUCCUGUUAAUCGGUUUUUUGGAUUGUUCUCUUCUCUUUUCUUACACAGGAACACUCUGUGGUGAUUCUCUUCUUCCUCCUUGAUUUUCUUCACUCUCUCCUCCUUCUCUGAGUGCCAUUAAACAUGGCUGCACUCGUGUUACCACCCUCCAUCCUCUCCCUUUCCUUCUCUUCUGUCGCCGUGGGCGCUCUCUUCCGCUAGGAUUCUCCCCAGGACCAUUUAUAUUCCUGCACCAGUCCUACAUCUAGGUUUGACUAUCUCCAGGGCUUUGAGGUAUUUGAGGAUUGGGGGGCUGAUCGAGGGAAAGGUAGAACCACAGGAUGGCAGAGGCACAGAAGUUUAUUGGGCUGCGUUUGGGCAAGGCUGCUCUAGAGCUCAGGCACCUGCCAGAAAGAGGCCUUUGAGCCACCACCUCAACGGGGAAUAGGGCAUGGGCACCUCUAGGAAAGGGGAGAAUCGGAGAGCACUCUGGUCUCUGAGUCAGAGAACGAUGAAGGGUAGUAGUGGUGGUUUGGGGACCAGCACACAAGGACAAUCUCUGGCCCGUUUAUAGAGCGGGCUACAGACCCAUACUUUUAACUGUUCACCGGGCCUUUCCAUCCUAAAUGUCACACAGGUGUCGGCAACACAGUUUCCCCAAACAGACCACAUCAUCUUUUCCUGAAAACCCUGUUAUUUCUAUUUAUCUAUUUCUAAUGAAGUGGCAUGAUUUUAGUCCCAGCUAGACAGGGUAGAAACCUGAGCAUCAUUUUAGAUUCUUCUUUUGGCACUCCGUCAUCUUUCCUCCAAUUUUGCUGGUAGCCCAUCCUGUAUCUUCUCUUGUAACUUUCUUGGGCUUUUCCUCUCUUCUCCACUUAGCAUCACCACAUUCGGACUGGGUCACUCCCUCUUCAUUUGUCGCUGCUAAGUAACUUUUGUUUUACUUGCUUCCAGUCAUGCGUCCAUGCCAGUCAUUCUUUGUAUUUUUAAAAUGAGACUUUCCUAAAAGUCAGGUCAUGUUACCUCCAUGCUCAAAAUUCUUGACUAUUGCAUAAUUACUUUGAAGGGAAAAAAACACACACACACACAAAUUCUUAGCACUUGGCAGCUUAGCCCUUUUAUAUUACAAAACAGAGCCUAGUGUUGUUUUUAUUACCUGAUGCUGGUCUAUGAAUGGACCAUAUUCUUUAUGCUUUUCCAAUCCCAUGAAAUGCAUUAUAAGUCCUUCAUUGGAUGCUUCUUUUUACAGCGUACUAUUUUUGAGAGGUACUGCAUUAUAUUUAUCUAGUCAUCCGUUGAUGGAGAUGUGUCCCUUGGGAUCUGCCCUUGUUUCCUUGCUGCUGAGCCCACCCAGAAAAGAACUCCAUGCUGGGAAGCUGGAUAAAGUGGGAACUGCCCCUCUGCAGUCCUGCCCAGCAAAACAGCUUUUCCACAAUACAGAGCUGUGGAGAGAAGGCGCAGCCCUUAGUUUGAAUGUCAUGGCAGCCCCCUGUUCUUCCCAAGUUGUGUAGCCUUUGUUGAAUAAACGCAUCUCAAUUUGUCAGAACCCCUUUGUUCCAUUUUGCCCAGAUUUUGAGUGAUUGUCUUUGAUAUUUUUGACCAGUUUUAUGAGAUUUGUCGCUGGGAGAGACGUUUCACAGGGCAUCACACACCACCCAUUCUAGAAGGGCCCACCUCUGACCACUGAUUUAUUUUCUCAAAUAGUUCAAGAACUUUAAAUGUUUUAACUCCAAGCCCCCCUUUUUCCUAGUAUGGUAAUGCUGACCAAUAUUUUCAUUCUAUUUAGGUUUUUUUUUUUUUAAUUAUUGGAGGUCUUGUUAUGGGUUGGUGGGUUAAGGACCCAACAUAGUAUCAGUGAGGAUGCCGGUUCAAUCCCCGGCCUCGCUCAGUGGGUUAAGGAUCCAGUGUUGCCGCAAGCUGUGGCGUAGGUCAUAGAUGCAGCUCAGAUCCGGUAUUGCUGUGGCUGAGGUGCUGGCAACUGCCGCUCUGAGUCUACCCUGGCCCGGGAACUUCCAUAUGAUGCAGGUGUGGCCAUUAAAAAAAAAAAUCUUUGUAGUACUUAUUAUUAAUCUCAUUAAAAUAAUCUCUUAGUGUUUUGAUAUACCUCCAUGUUUAGCAGUCUUUCUACCUGCUAAUAUUGCAUCUCAAAUAUUGUUAUGGGGUUCUUGUCUUUCUGAAAUCAUUUUCCAAGGUGUCAGUCUCUAGAUAAGUUGUCUUUAUUUCACAGCCUCCCUUGGAAGGUUCUGGUAGUGGGUACAGACAUCUAAGUGGAGGUUAUUUCCUCUUCAUACAUUGAAGACAGCAGUCAAGAUCCUCUAACUUCUCUUGUUGCUGUUGAGAACUGAGCUCAGUCUGUUAGCUCACUGUUCUGUAGGUGAUUCGGUGUUGUGGGAAUUUUUGCUACUUCUAAGAUCUCAUUGUGCUCUGAAAUCUCACUAAUAAUUGUCUAGGUAUGAAUAUCUCUUUAGGAGUUCCUGUUGUGGUACAACGGAAACGAAUCCGAUUUGGAACCAUGAGGUUGUAGGUUCGAUCCCUGGCCUCGCUCAGUGGGUUAAGGAUCUGGCGUUGCCGUGACCUGUGGUUUAGGUUGCAGAUACGGCUUGGAUCUGGCAUUGCUGGGGCUGUGGUGUAGGCCGGCAGCUGUAGCUCUGAUUAGACCCCUAGCCUGGGAACCUCCAUAUGCCAUGGGUGCAGCCCUAAAAAAGCAAAAAAAAAAA
RNAcentral lists this long non-coding RNA (2857 nucleotides) under Sus scrofa (pig). RNAcentral describes it as "lncRNA (ENSSSCG00015027339.1)". Lineage: Eukaryota; Metazoa; Chordata; Mammalia; Artiodactyla; Suidae. The record is from RNAcentral.